Long non-coding RNA from Prosopis cineraria, 2379 nucleotides. RefSeq lists it as uncharacterized. The transcript is spliced from 3 exons. The record is from RefSeq and is a predicted model, not a curated record. NCBI's taxonomy places the organism in Eukaryota, Viridiplantae, Streptophyta, Magnoliopsida, Fabales, Fabaceae.
CAUGGCUAGCCUACAACAAAAAAAAAACAAUCUUUUUUGUAAUUUCUAAGUUUUAAAUUUCAAAUCUCCUUCUUUUUUCAAGUUUUGAAAAAAUGUUGAUAUGAGCUAUGUCAAAUAUCAUUUCCACUUACCUUUUCUCCCUUCUUCUCACGAUCUCUCUCUCUUUGCUCUCCAUCCAUCAAAAGUUUGAAACCAUUGAUUUUUUUCUUUUAAUGGCCUCAUUUUCUCUCACAAAUCACAGUUCAUCGACCCUUUUGUGAUCUCAAAGGGGCUAAUAUGCAUGGUGUGUAUGAACUUUAAACAUAAAAAAUUCAAAAUUGCUCUUUUUCUCUCAACUGGAUUGAAAACCUUUUGUUUGGUCAAAAGGGUAGGACUCGAUCUAUCUAUAACUUUAUUUUGAAUCAAUUUGAAUGCACGUGGUUUGUUACCUGCAUAAUACUACAAGAGUAGUAUUUGUUUUGCCAUGUAAAUGAUGGCAUAGAAAUUUCCUAUAAACACAAAAGCAAAAACUUAUAAUACUUAUCGGCCUGUAAGGGCUUGGGUCUUUAAACUUGAUUUCUCAUUUUUUAUCUCUUUUUUAAGGGUUGGUUAUUUGAAGGGUUCAAGGCUUUUGAAAAAAUUUAAAAAAAUUAAGCAUUAUCAAUUAAUUAAAAUAUUUAAAAAUUAAAAAAAUUAAAAUUUUCAUAAUCUUUUAGAAAUUAAAUAACACACAUUUAAAAGUCUAGUAAUAAAAUUUAAAUCUUAGUUAAAAAAUAGUUCAUCUUUUAUAAAUACACAAACAUAAUAAUUAUAAAAAAAUAAAAAAUAUUAAAAAUUUUAUACUAUAAACUGAUAUUUAUAAAUUAUAUUAAAUUAAUUUUAGAAUAAAUUAAAAUUAAUAAUAAUACAAUGAUCAAGGCUUCAGGCAAGCAGGUUCUUGGCUUCAAACGUGUGUCACAAAAAAAAAUUAAUAAUAAUAUAACAAGACUUAAAGGACUGUUUAGACCCGACCCCCUUUUGUAUAGGGCUUAUUAGAGCAAAUCCUCAAGCCCGGUACUUUAAAAAAUUAUUUUUAAAAUCCAAACUCAUUUAAAUAGAACCUCCAAACUCACCACUUAUUUUUAGCUUUAGAUAGCAGCCACAAUAACUUCUUGGAGAUGAGAAAAAAAUUUAUAGUUAAAAGGACAGUAAGAGAUAAACAUGAGGAGUACAAAUUUUCACGAUUUGAGGCUAAAGCAUCUAGUCUAUGAUGGUCAACAUGUUUAACUUUUGGUCAUUCAUAGAUGUCGAAAAAAUCACUGGCGGAACACCAUGUUAUAUGACGUAUUCUUUUUAUAGUUUCGAUUUCUUUCUAAGGCUUUUCAUUUCAUUUUUCCCUUGAUCUAUUUGUUUUCUUUCAGACCCCAAAUAAAUUCCAUUUUUCCUCUUUUUAGGCUUGAAGGAAAUGCCUAAAAAUUCAUAGUAUGUGUUAAGUGCAAAGGGGUUUGUCAGACCCAAAUUCAAGGGUUAUAUGAAAAGGGGUUUGCCUCAACAAUUUUAUGGUUCUCUUGAUGCUUGCAUGGUAAAGUGCAAAUACAAUUGUUUGUUGGAAGAUUUUCUGGAGUUGCUGAAAGUUAGAGUUCUAUUUAGUUGCUUUAAUUAUACUUUCGAUUUCCAUAGUAUGUGUUCUAUGCUAUAUUUUGUCUCAGGGCUUACAUUAUGCUUUUUGAUUCUAAAAGUCCUCAUUUUUAAUUCCAAAGUAAUUCCAUUAAAGUGAAAUAUUUUCAGAGGGAAGUGAAUUGUUUUGUGUGUGGUUCAAAAUUUUUGCAUGGUUACCUUGAGGGAUUCUAAAAUGUCCCCAUUUUAAACUUUUUUUGUGUUACUUCAUUAUAGUUGGCCUAAAGAUUUUUAUGACUCUUAUCCAAAUAUUUGAAGGCCUGGCAACCAUAGAAGUAUUUGAAGGAAUGAAGUGGGAAGAAGAUAUUUAGGUUUGGUUGGGGUAUUAUCUUCUCCAGUUUGCAUUGAUUUUAGACCAGGAGCUGGAAUUCAUUACUAACGACAACAAUGUGACCGGACUUUGUUAAAAAAGAAAGGUAAAUUGUAAACUCAAAAGCAGGAGAGAGAAAUACUAGUAGAAGAUAGGUAGGACAAUGCUCUCUAACGUUAGCUUGCCAGAAGAACCUUGCUUUAAACCCCAUGAUCUCUAGGUGUGGGGUACUGACGCGGCUUUACUGACACAGAGGAGAGUAUAAGCAAAGGUAUGAAAUAUUAGUAAUGGUUGCCCUAUAAUACGUGUUGCGGUUGUUUCAUUUAUAUCGUUUACUGUGCAUUAUAUUACAUGUAGAGGUAUGAGAUGCUUACUCUAUCCUUGACAGUAGCUGACAUGCUCUGAUCUAACUUGUAUUUAAAAGAAGAAUGGAU